AUGUACCACUCGUACACUCCGGUUCCUGUGCGCCGCCCGCACCCGCCUGACGACUGCUCGCUACGUUUUGUUAGCC
This 76-nucleotide small RNA is filed under the name Xanthomonas vasicola. Its description in RNAcentral is "sX9 sRNA". It matches the Rfam family "Xanthomonas sRNA sX9". RNAcentral also lists the same sequence under 10 other names. Lineage: Bacteria; Pseudomonadati; Pseudomonadota; Gammaproteobacteria; Lysobacterales; Lysobacteraceae. The record is from RNAcentral.